CUCUUUUUGUUUAUAUAUAUAAAGUAUGACCUGCCCACUGAUUUAUUUGAAGGGCCGCGGUAACCUGACCGUGCAAAGGUAGCAUAAUCAUUAGUUUCUUAAUUAGAGGCUGGAAUGAAUGGUUGGACGAAAUAUGAGCUAUCUCAUUAUUUUUAUUAGAAUUUAAUUAUUAAGUAAAAAAGCUUAAAUAUUGUUAUGGGACGAGAAGACCCUAUAGAGUUUAAUAUUAUAAUUUUUAGAUUAGUUUUGUUUCGCAAUAUUAAUUAUAAUUUUUUGUUGGGGUGACAGGAAGAUAUAAAUAACUCUUUUUAUUGAUAAAUAUUAAUUUAUAGAAUUUUGAUCCAUUUAUAAUGAUUAUAAGACUAAAUUACCUUAGGGAUAACAGCGUAAUCUUUUUUGAGAGUUCUUAUCACUAAAAGGGGUUGCGACCUCGAUGUUGGAUUAAGAUUAACAUUAGGUGUAGAAGUUUAAUUUGUUAGGUCUGUUCGACCUUUAAAAUCUUACA
Molecule: ribosomal RNA, 505 nt
Filed under: Blattella germanica (German cockroach)
Lineage: Eukaryota; Metazoa; Arthropoda; Insecta; Blattodea; Blattellidae
Description: partial 16S ribosomal RNA
Rfam family: Bacterial large subunit ribosomal RNA
Source: RNAcentral